UCUCUCGUAUGUCUCUUUCUCUCCUUCCCUCUUCUCUCUUCUUUCUUCUCAAACCCUAAAAAUGUCUGAACAAAAAAAGCCACAGACUCACAUCCCCCGCCGUCGCACACCCAGAUCGCGCUGGGACUCCAAUCCCCGCCGUCGCCUCUUUCUCAUGUCACCACUGAUUUCGGUUCAUCAACAAACCCUAACACUACCGCCACCCUCCUUUCUCCACCAUAGAUUUACCCCUUUUUUUUGCAAAUUUAUAUAAGUGCAUCACAUCCAUUUACUACCCAUUAUUUUCAUUCCUGAACAUUAGAGAUCUACAAAUCUCAAAGAAGAAUAAACGAAAGUUGUGAGAUGGUGAAGUUGCAACAAUGACAGAUCCGUUUUGUUGAUUCUUGCAGUAGUGGAAAACGACACGGUUUAUGGAUUUACAUUAGAGAGGAUAAAUAAUGGAACAGGCAGAGGGAAUAUUCCAUCAUCAUUAUUACAGAUGAGGAAAGAAUUUAGCAGCGAAGUUGAGCCAACAAUUGCAGCAAUGCGAGGGCUUUUGGCUAUUACAUCUAGCAGUCAAUCGGUUCCUACUACUAUGUUCCAACUUAUUGCUCAUGAAGCUAAAAAAUCCAGUACAAAGGGUCGCAUUUUAAGAGUGAUGAGUAAUGGCUGCAACUAAUGGUUUGUCAAAUCACUUCAUGUUGUAACUCAGCAAUUGGUGUUUCUUUGGUGUGUCUGGUGUUGGUAUUGCAAUGGCAACAUAUGAGGCUUUUGUUGGAAUAGUUUUUAUAGGAUGGUGUAGAGGGGAAUUUAGCAGAGGUAGGCAGCAAAGAGGACAAUCCUUUCCAAAGAUGGACCUUAUGCAAACAUACUUUUUACGAUUUAGCAUAUGUCUUUCCCGCGGUGUUUAUGUUUAUGCUUAAGGAAUGUUAUUAUGGUAUGAUUUUUCCAGUUUAAAGCUAACGUAUGUUUUCUAUAGUAAUAUAAGAUAUUGAGUACCAAUUAUUUUCUAAAAUGACUCAAAAUUAUCACUUCAAGCAACUGUAAAGUGACUGAAAUUCUAAUCACUUCAAGAACUAUGUGUGGUGCUCCUUAAUGAUCCAAAUUAUCAUUUUUCUGACUUAUUAUCAUUUUUCUGACUUUGUGC
Vicia villosa (hairy vetch) is the source of this 1126-nucleotide long non-coding RNA. RefSeq lists it as uncharacterized. The record is from RefSeq and is a predicted model, not a curated record. The transcript has 4 exons. Lineage: Eukaryota; Viridiplantae; Streptophyta; Magnoliopsida; Fabales; Fabaceae.